RNAcentral lists this ribosomal RNA (1116 nucleotides) under Triticum aestivum (bread wheat). RNAcentral describes it as "partial small subunit ribosomal RNA". Lineage: Eukaryota; Viridiplantae; Streptophyta; Magnoliopsida; Poales; Poaceae. The record is from RNAcentral.
AUGCUUCUGAUUUCAUUCCCCAAGACCAUGCUUGCCCAAGACACAAAAGACGCUGAAGAUUUGACCAAAGUCAUCAAAAAGCUUGACAGAAUUUCUGCAGAGAUGAGUAGCUUGUGUUUCUUGUGUGGGCAAGAUGCUACACAAGGAUUCGUGCCUGAUCAAGCUCCUGAUUGGAGGGUGACCACUGCGUCCGACACACAACCAAAUCUGGUUGGUCAGCAGAAAGAAGCAGAUGAACUCAUGGCUUUUUUACUCAAACCUGAACAAGGUAAUGAGAAAGUCUCAUGUAUUUUUGUUGUCGGAAUGGGUGGUGUUGGGAAGACAGCUCUCGCCCGGGAAGCUUACAACGAUAGCAGAACAGACUGCUUUGGAGUGAAGGUCUGGAUCUGUGUAUCACAUAGAGCCAGCAUCACAAGGGUCUUGAUUGACGCAACCAAUGCUGCUUCCAAAAAAUUACUGCUUUAUCGCCAUCCUGCGCCCGACAAGGGCACUAUCAAGAGUAUGCUGGCAGAUGUUUUGAAAGAUAAGAGAUUUCUCAUAGUCCUGGAUGACAUAUGGGAUUGGGAUUUAUCAAGAAACAUACUGGACGCAUUCAAUAUGCCAUUUAGUCAAGCACGUGAAGGAAGUAAAGUCAUAGUCACUACUCGAGACCCAAGCAUAGGAGAAGGAAUGAGUACAGUAGGGCCAAUUCCUGUUCACGGCUUACAGUCUGAACAUUAUUGGCAACUGUUCAAGGAACUUGCAUUUCAUAACAAAGACCCAGAAGAGUAUCCAGAACUCUUACCCAUAGGCGAAAACACAGCCGAAAGGCUAAAUGGCUUGCCCCAGGCAGCAGAGACAUUUUGUCAGGCGUUACGGUCAGACUUCAAUGCUAACCACUGGAGGGGUAUUUCGAAAAGGAAAAUGUAUCAAAUGGGAGCAGAGAAGGGUGGCCUCAUGGCCACACUGAGAUUAAGUCAUGAACAGCUGCCAAGAGACCUCAAGGAAUGUUUCGUUUCUUGUUCUCUCUUCCCAAAAGGGCAUGCCUUUCGAAAAGAAGAAAUUAUCCGUGUAUGGAUGGCUCUCGGAUAUCUUGAUGGCCCUGGAGCUGGAGUGCAAAGAAUGGAAGAUACAUGA